RNAcentral lists this long non-coding RNA (2312 nucleotides) under Capra hircus (goat). RNAcentral's name for it is "lncRNA (ENSCHIG00010018514.1)". Lineage: Eukaryota; Metazoa; Chordata; Mammalia; Artiodactyla; Bovidae. The record is from RNAcentral.
AUGAUUCCUCCUAGAAAAGACUGGGAGGUCAGCAUGAUAAAGGGAUUCCAGAGGGACAAGGCUAGACAAAGACAUGGCAUGGGAAAACAUAGCCAAUUCAAUGAAGGCAAAAUAUCUGAGUGUGGGAUGAGGUGUGGAAAUAGGAAGCAAUGCAGCACUUCCAGGAAAGAACAGAAUGACCAGACUUUGACUAGUUUCAGGUCUGGUCACAGCAUAUAUUACAGGAUGAAAUGGAAUAGGGAGCAAUGCUGGCACAGAGUACAUACAGUUUAACAGGAACUUAGAACCCAACAGGCAAACGGGUAGAGGCCAUUGACAGUUGAGACAGGUAUAUAACUUAGGGUAAUGGUGGCAUCAAAACUAGUUGCAAAAGAAGUGAAAUUAACAUUUACUGUAGAAACUUGACUUCCAGCUCCUACCAGCUGGCUUGCUAGAUCUUACCAUUACUCUUAAAUAUUCCCUACUUCUGGAUAUCCCCAAAGAUAUCCACAUUCAAUAAUAAACCAUGUUGACCAUAGUUAACACCUGCAUGCUCCAUGAAAGUAUAAUCUACUAAGACUCCGCCACGGCACUGCUGGCGACACUAUCCCUGGCCUCCAGCCUACAGCUGCUUGGCUGUCUCCACAGUACCAGCUAUAAUGAGGUGAUUUUGUUGGUACCCAAACUCUAAUCAAAGAAAUUACUUUCAUUUGGAAUAACUUCCUGACAGAAAUGAGCCCCCGAGGCUUGAGAGCAGUUUAAAGAGAGCUGACCUGCUGGGUAUGCUAUAGACAGGGGGGUUAGGAAGGAAAGGGGUGAAGAGGUGAGAAGCUAAGGGAAGGGUGCUGAGACUGGGGCUGUGUGGAAUGUCUUGAGACACUGAAGGGGCUCAGUUUCACAUCUCAACUGCACUACAAGGGAGUGCUGUGAGCUGUGCAGAAAUUCUUAAAGGGGUUUUGGAGUUGCCCAGACCAUGCAAAUAGGAAUUACAGGCAAAUUUCACUCAGAACAAGGGCCGGUAAGUUCCAGCUAAUACCGAGUACCAUAAAUUUCAAUCUAACCUGGUGGGUGGGCCAUGAUGGUGGCAGUAGUGGUAACUUCCCAAGCAAAUCUGCAAAUAAAACUCUUUCUCCUACAGAACAACCUUUUUCACUGUCAUAUAGUGUACUUGAAUUCCGGGAGCAAAGUUUGCUAUUCUUAAGGCCUUCACAGUUACAAAACUGUGACCCAUUCAAAUGGUUUUCCUAGGAGAAAAAAAACCUGCCCCCACUAAAAGGCCACUAGUCUUUCCAAAACUGGAAUUUACUUGUACUUAAAUUUAAUGGGGAAAAAAAAACCUUUAAUAGUUUUCUAGGGAGUGAAAUGAAAAGGCUGGGCGCAAACUGUUGAGGGAUUUCUUCUUUACACCUUUAUAAGCAGUCUAGGUNNNNNNNNNNNNNNNNNNNNNNNNNNNNNNNNNNNNNNNNNNNNNNNNNNNNNNNNNNNNNNNNNNNNNNNNNNNNNNNNNNNNNNNNNNNNNNNNNNNUGAGGGAUUUCUUCUUUACACCUUUAUAAGCAGUCUAGGUUUCAAAAUGAACUUGCAGUACUAUUUCCACUUUAUUAAAAAGCAUAUAUAGUCAUUAAAAAGAAUGGGAUAAAAAUAGAUGAAAAUGAAUUUUGUAUUACUAAUGAUAAAGCUGCAUCAAAAACAUAUAAUACCAUUUAUAUGAAAUAAUUGAUAUCAGAAGAUAUUUUAUCCACUGGACUUCUCUAAGGAAUAGUGGACUGUCUUAGAAAAGCAAUGAAUUUCAGAGGAAGCAGGUUCCCAGCGGUGUUUCCAAAGGCAGGCACUAGGAAAAAUUUUCAAGUUUAUAAAGUUUAAAGUCAAUAAGUUUAGGAAAUGCCCUAGUGGUCCAGUGGUUAGAGCUCUGCGCUCUCACUGCUGAGGUCCUAGGUUCUAUCCCUGGUCAGGGAACCAAGAUCCCACAAGCUAUGCAACAUAGCCAAAAAAAAAAAAAUUGUAUGAAGUUUACUUUAAAUUCCAUCAAUGAAAAGAUUUUUAAAUUAUAUAAAACACUUCACCAAACUGCCUACUAAUAUGCAGCCCACAAAUCGGGAGGGGAGGGAGCAAGACAUGAUUGUCAAAUUUCAGAUAAGAUUAUGUCACUUCUCAGAAACCUCCUGAGAGGUUGGAGAAGGAAAUAGCAACCCACUCCAGUACUCUUUCCUGGAGAAUCCCGUGGAGGGAGGGGCCUCACUUUCACUUUCAGAAACCUCCUAGCAAAUUAUCCUUGGGAGUCAGGAAAAGCCACAGGCCUUCCAGCACUGCACCCUGGGGAGCUGGUUUCCAGUGA